UUUUCCCGCCCAAAUUCCGGGUUGUGAUUUGGUUACAUGCGGUGCUCCAUAUUCUUUUUAUGACCCUGAUUCAAAUGUCAUUCAAUCCCUGAAAAUUAGCUCUCAUUCGUUGUUUUCAUCUUUUCACUCCAGAACCCUAAAAAAAAUCCAUCAUCUCAUCUCUCAGCAUUGGCUCCUUCACCAACAUCGAUUUCAUCUUAAAGAUUUUGACCCUUUGUGAAUGCAAAGAAGACAUAAAAAAUAAAGUUCACGCGAUGAUCGAUAAAUUGGCUGAACAUUUGCAGAGCUCACGCCGAUGAACAACUUGCUAUUGCUAAGGAGAUUGGUAGACGACUUCGUAUGGGGCAAACACGCACCCUUCUUCUUUACUUGGUGGCGACAAGGAUGCAUCUAUAGCAGUUCACCUUAUUUAAGAGCUGAUUGAGGAAACUGAUGAAUUUACUGGACUUUUCCUAGAACUUAAGUAUGAGAUGUGAAGGAUUUACAAGAAAGAAUGUGCAUUUGUAGAAAGAUAGGUGAUGGUGUGAAUGAUGCACCUGUUUAAAAAAAAAAAAAAAGAAGCUAAAAGCACACUUUGGUAAUUGAUGUUGCUUAGCUAUAGAUGAUGGAAUCGUGUAGCAGACUACAUUUGUUACCAAUUGCGAAUCUGCUGGAGAGAGCCACAUGUAUUUAUUUUUUAAUUUUCGAAUAUUUGUUAUGCGGUUAAUAUUACUAUUUUUCAUACAGUUUGCUCACUUAAUAUUCAUGAUUUGUAGUAUGAGGGAUAAGAUUGAGACUCCAGAAGAGAUUUAGUUUAGGAAAUCAGUCAAAUAAUUUCACUUCAUUUUUGUUUGUUAUGAUUUACUUCAAAUUGUUAGGUGUAGGUGCUCAUUCAAAGACAAGAAAAUAAUUAUUUACCAUAAUGUAGAAGGCUAUAUGUUCUGUUGUUUAGGAUCAUGUUUGCUUUAUGCAAAGUGAGGUUUUUUCUUUUUGGUAAUCACGUUCGGGAGAGAACAUAUGUAUAUUGUAUUACAUUGAGAUCCAUUUAUAUUGCACACUAUUUUUUAUUUACUUAAUGAACUUUAUUUUUAUUAUAUUUUUGUGUUAUACAACUUAAAAUUAUUCAACCCGUGUAUCACACGGGUAAAUAACCUAGUAUAUAAUAAAUAAAUUAGAUGUGGGACACGUGUCAAGUGGUGGUGCAACCACAAUGGAUUUUAGGCGGGAAAAAUGUGAGAAACCUUAUGUUUUCACACGGGAUCCGCUAUGGUAUCCAUACCCGCAUGGUUUGACCCGGUAUAUAAAUCAUGGAAUAACCUAAUUCCCUCAUUCUUCUCAUUCAAGCCGCUUCCAGGAUACGUUUCUUUUACAAAACCCUAGCAUCGGCAUCUUUAAUCGCCACCAUCACAAUCUUGGUUAUUUGUCUGUCACCGCCACGUUUUACAAACCCUAAAUAUCAACACAGAUUCAGCAUUUGUUUGAAGGUUUAAAUCGAACAAUUGAUAUGAUGCUGUUAUAUAGAAGAAAUAUAUAUAUAUUUCUUGUAAAAAGGUUGCAAGGUUGCAUAUGGAGAGCACGGGUCAGAUGGUUCAGGCUGCAUAUGGUAGACGGGUUAGAUGGUUCAGGCUGCAUAUGGUAGAGUACAGGUUAGAUGGUUCAGGACUUCAGGCUGCAUAUGGUAGAGUACGGGUCAGAUUACAAGUUCCAACCCCUUUACAAACCCUAAGCCCGCUGUACAGUUAAAUGCUAAGACCUUUGCAAAUAUUAAUGAUGGAAAGCAUGCUCCAAAAGACAUAAGGGAGUUAGUGUAGGGAAUUUUAGAUACUGAUCAUUUUUUUGUGUUAACCAAAUCAAGUUACCAAGGUAAUAUUAGAUAAUAGUAGUGUGGAAAGAAAAUCCAUCAUGUAGGGUUAUUCUUAAUACUAUUUUACAAUUUUUUUUCUUUUGCAUGUAUUGGUAAAAAUUGAAUUGUACGUUGCAUUUUCUUGCAAAUUUAACUAAUUGACCCAUUAGAGAUAUGAACAGAUAUGAUGGUUCAUCA
Helianthus annuus (common sunflower) is the source of this 2020-nucleotide long non-coding RNA. RefSeq lists it as uncharacterized. NCBI's taxonomy places the organism in Eukaryota, Viridiplantae, Streptophyta, Magnoliopsida, Asterales, Asteraceae. The record is from RefSeq and is a predicted model, not a curated record. The transcript has 7 exons.